Molecule: long non-coding RNA, 2070 nt
Organism: Triticum aestivum (bread wheat)
Lineage: Eukaryota; Viridiplantae; Streptophyta; Magnoliopsida; Poales; Poaceae
Exons: 3
Source: RefSeq, a predicted model, not a curated record
GUAGCACCCGUACUUCUCAGUGCCGCCGCCACCGCCGGCGACCUCCCGAUGCGGCGACGCCCCCCUCUCCCUCUCCGCCUGAUGCUUGCGGAGGCAACGCAGAUUUCAUCGCCUUCGCCGGAGGCGGCGGCGCUCGCGCUGCCAUUCCCUGCCGCGGACGCGCUUCUACCUCAACCCCGACGAGCACUGCGAGCGUCUCCAGUCAGGGCACUUCCUUUCGUCUCUCCGAGGCUUCAUAUUGUGGCUCGUGACAUUACCAUGUAUCUGAAACACCUGGUAUUUCAAUUAUUUGGAUUGUGAUACUGGGAUCUCAUUAAGUCAAAGAAGACAUGAGCACCCUGCAGCUCUCUGGUCAGCUGAAGCAGACUACUUGCUUGGGUAUCUUCUCGAGCAGUUUCUGUGCCUUGUUGGUCAGACUGAUGAGACUGAUGGAAGGCUGGAAGUCAGCGUGAACAGCUUGCAUUCAGGGAUUCAGAGAAGUGACCGGAAGUCCGGAAUUGAAGCUCAAGUUCUUUCCUCCCAGCUAGAAAUGGAAUGAAGACAAUAGAUUCAGACAAGGGACUCUUUGCUGCAAUGGUGUCGAACCAGCAUGGUGUGCCUCUAUAUGUAACGAAUGAGGCAGAGGCCAUGUAUAGGUUCAUCCUAGAGACAUCAAGAUUCUCGUCGGUUAUGGAGAGUUGUGUUGCUGGCACGGGACAGAAGCCACCCAUCUCCCCGAGAAGCUGAUGCUUUUUUUAUGGUUGAUCAAUAUAAGGGGCAUCUGUAACUCUAGUCUCCAGCUGAGGCUUCUGAUCGGGCUGUCAUGUCUGGAUUAUUGGCAGCAAACUCGUGCACGAGCGUGUAGUUUGAUUUCAGAUCAAGAUCAAGAGAUCGGCGGGUGCGGGGAAACGGCGAGAAAUGAAGAGCUGGCUGCUGAUUGCUUGCUGGUGGAAGGAACAGUUGACUUAGCCUUGAAGGUUCUGGGGCCAUGCUUAUCUGAACCAAGUGCAGUUCCUGGUGGUGGAUGCCAGUCUUCAACUCUGAGAAACUUUCUUCAUUGCAUUGCAGAGGACAAGGAGCAGGGGAGGUGGCCCGAGUUCUCCCCCCACUUGCUUUGCCUGCUGAAUGUGGCAGAGGCUAACUUGGCCUCCAGGCAAGCACACAUGAUCUAUUAUGAAUGGUCCAGCAGUUCUCUGUUUCGCAUACCAUGACAUACUGUUUCAAUGGUCAGGGAUGGCGAAGAGUAGAGACCUAGUCCAUUGGAGUGAGGGCUGGAAGGCACGCUGGCUGACCUUCCAUGCUUGGGGCAGAAGCUGCAGUGCUAUUUUUUCAGAUGGAAAGGAAGAGAGGAGGAACUUUGCUCUAAUGGUGUCUACCCCAGCAUGCACAUUUUGGUACCCUCAUAAAUAGUGCAGAAGUAGAAGAGCCUACAGACAUCUUGUCAGUUGAGGUCCUGAGAGUUUGUCCCCCAUCCUCAAGGCAAGUAAUAUGCCGCUCUGCUGCCAUCUUAUCAUUUCAUACAUGUAUGAAUGAGUAUAUGGGCCUGUCAUGUCUAAAUUAUCAGAGGCAAAAUCACACACGAGGACCAGCUUUUGUGUUAUUUCUAGAUAGCUUGAUCAUGUACAUGAUGACUUGUUGCUGGUAUUGUACAGCCUUGUCUUAGUUGUCAGUGGCAAACUCAUCUGCAUGAGGGGGUGGUUGGUGCUUGCUGGUGCGUUGUGCUAUCUUGUUCCGCUAACAGCCUUUUGUCCAUUGGCGUUCCAAUCUUACAACCAAGCUCAUGCCAGUCAUCUCCUUGCUGUCAUCAGAGGUCUGUAUCUUCUCUCUUGGGAUCCUUCCCCAAGAUCCAUUGAGUACUGCUAGGUGUUCAAGUGCACAAACUUUUGUGGCUCAAAAUGCUUACAUUUUCUGCAAAUUGAUAUUAAGCAUAUAUCGUCGCCAUUGAGUGACAAGGUUAUUUUAAGACCUGGAACCAUGUUUCUUGGACAAAUAAUAUUUUGAUAAAUUUCAGCACGAAGUCUUACAGCAUGAGAUCUUUUUUAGUGAAUAUAGUGGUAAUGGAUUUUACUGGCAUUUGUACACAAUGUAAGA